Molecule: ribosomal RNA, 407 nt
Filed under: uncultured microorganism
Description: bacterial SSU rRNA
Rfam family: Bacterial small subunit ribosomal RNA
Source: RNAcentral
CAGCAGCCGCGGUAAGACGUAGGGGGCAAGCGUUGUCCGGAAUUACUGGGCGUAAAGGGCACGCAGGCGGUGCGCCAAGUCGAGGGUGUAAAGUUACGGCUCAACCGUGACAUUGCAAUCGAUACUGGCGUGCUGGAGUGCGGGAGAGGGAAGUGGAAUUCCCGGUGUAGCGGUGAAAUGCGUAGAUAUCGGGAGGAACGCCAGUGGCGAAGGCGGCUUCCUGGCCCGCGACUGACGCUCAUGUGCGAAAGCCAGGGGAGCGAACCGGAUUAGAUACCCGGGUAGUCCUGGCCGUAAACGAUGGGUGCUAGGUGUAGGCGCGUCAAGCGUCUGUGCCGAAGUUAACGCGAUAAGCACCUCGCCUGGGGAGUACGGUCGCAAGGCUGAAACUUAAAGGAAUUGGCGGG